Molecule: ribosomal RNA, 253 nt
Filed under: uncultured bacterium
Lineage: Bacteria
Description: partial 16S ribosomal RNA
Rfam family: Bacterial small subunit ribosomal RNA
Source: RNAcentral
UACGUAGGGUGCAAGCGUUAAUCGGAAUUACUGGGCGUAAAGCGUGCGCAGGCGGUUUUGUAAGUCUGUUGUGAAAUCCCCGGGCUUAACCUGGGAAUGGCAAUGGAGACUGCAAGGCUAGAGUUUGGCAGAGGGGGGUAGAAUUCCACGUGUAGCAGUGAAAUGCGUAGAGAUGUGGAGGAAUACCGAUGGCGAAGGCAGCCCCCUGGGCCAAUACUGACGCUCAUGCACGAAAGCGUGGGGAGCAAACAGG